Molecule: long non-coding RNA, 702 nt
Organism: Pungitius pungitius (ninespine stickleback)
Lineage: Eukaryota; Metazoa; Chordata; Actinopteri; Perciformes; Gasterosteidae
Exons: 3
Source: RefSeq, a predicted model, not a curated record
CUGCUUCAGUCUCCUUUGUCUUCACAUCAGUUAUUUGUAUUGAUUGUGACAUAAAAAACAAAUUAAGAGAAUUUCUGCAAAACACGUUUUUGAGGCUUAAGUUUUGACAGAAAAAAUAAUUACAGCAAGAAAGAAAAGCAGAAAACGUUUGAUUUUCAUCUGCUGGGUUUUAUAUUCUGUGCCCUGAACACAGUUCUAGGUCUGGUUCUGCUUGGUUCUAGGUCUGGUUGUGGUUGGUUAUAGGUCUGGUUGUGGUUGGUUAUAGAUCUGUUCUGCUUGGUUCUAGGUCUGGUUCUGCUUGGUUCUAGGUCUGGUUGUGGUUGGUUAUAGGUCUGGUUCUGGUUGGUUAUAGAUCUGGUUCUGCUUGGUUCUAGGUCUGGUUGUGGUUGGUUAUAGGUCUGGUUCUGGUUGGUUAUAGGUCUGGUUCUGGUUGGUUAUAGAUCUGGUUCUGCUUGGUUCUAGGUCUGGUUGUGGUUGGUUAUAGGUCUGGUUCUGGUUGGUUAUAGAUCUGGUUCUGCUUGGUUCUAGGUCUGGUUCUGGUUGGUUAUAGAUCUGGUUCUGCUUGGUUCUAGGUCUGGUUCUGGUUGGUUAUAGGUCUGGUUGUGGUUGGUUAUAGAUCUGGUUCUGCUUGGUUCUAGGUCUGGUUCUGGUUGGUUUCUAUGUCUGGUUCUGGUUAGUGAAAUGACACAUUGAGGUUCUGAA